CCUACGGGAGGCAGCAGUGAGGAAUAUUGGUCAAUGGACGCAAGUCUGAACCAGCCAUGCCGCGUGCAGGAAGACGGCUCUAUGAGUUGUAAACUGCUUUUGUACGAGGGUAAACGCAGAUACGUGUAUCUGUCUGAAAGGAUCGUACGAAUAAGGAUCGGCUAAAUCCGUGCCAGCAGCCGCGGUAAUACGGAGGAUUCAAGCGUUAUCCGGAUUUAUUGGGUUUAAAGGGUGCGUAGGCGGGAGGAUAAGUUAGGGGUGAAAGCCCGAGGAGCAACUUGGGAAGUGCCUUUGAUACUGUUCGGCUAGAGGGUAGUGGCGGUAGGCGGAAUGUGUGGUGUAGCGGUGAAAUGCUUAGAGAUCAGACAGAACACCGAUUGCGAAGGCAGCUUACCAAGCUACGACUGACGUUGAGGCACGAAAGCGUGGGGAGCAAACAGGAUUAGAUACCCGGGUAGUC
Molecule: ribosomal RNA, 460 nt
Filed under: uncultured bacterium
Lineage: Bacteria
Description: partial 16S ribosomal RNA
Rfam family: Bacterial small subunit ribosomal RNA
Source: RNAcentral